This 831-nucleotide ribosomal RNA is filed under the name uncultured bacterium. RNAcentral's name for it is "bacterial SSU rRNA". It matches the Rfam family "Bacterial small subunit ribosomal RNA", at positions 669 to 1501 of the family's 1533-position model. The record is from RNAcentral.
AGCUGUGUAGGGGUAAAAUCCGUAGAGAUAACUAGGAAUACCAAAAAGCGAAGGCAAUUUUCUGGAACAGUACUGACGCUCAGAUGCGAAAGCGUGGGUAGCAAACANNANUAGAUACCCUCGUAGUCCACGCCCCUAAACGAUGAAUGUUAGUCGUCGGGAGGCUCGUCCUUUCGGUGAUGCAGUUAACACAUUAAACAUUCCGCCUGGGGAGUACGGUCGCAAGAUUAAAACUCAAAGGAAUAGACGGGGACCCGCACAAGUGGUGGAGCAUGUGGUUUAAUUCGAAGAUACGCGAAGAACCUUACCUAGCCUUGACAUUGAUAGAAUCUGAUAGAAAUAUCGGAGUGCCAGUUUACUGGAGCUUGAAAACAGGUGCUGCACGGCUGUCGUCAGCUCGUGUCGUGAGAUGUUGGGUUAAGUCCCGCAACGAGCGCAACCCUCGUCCUUAGUUACUAACGGUUCGGCCGAGGACUCUAAGGAGACUGCCUUCGUAAGGAGGAGGAAGGUGAGGACGACGUCAAGUCAUCAUGGCCCUUACGGCUAGGGCGACACACGUGCUACAAUGGAUAGGACAAUGAGACGCAAUACCGCGAGGUGGAGCAAAUCUAUAAACCUAUUCUCAGUUCGGAUUGUAGUCUGCAACUCGACUACAUGAAGCUGGAAUCACUAGUAAUCGUAGAUCAGCCAUGCUACGGUGAAUACGUUCCCGGGUCUUGUACUCACCGCCCGUCACACCAUGGGAGUUGAUUUCACCCGAAGCGGGGAAGCUAAACUGGCUACCCUCCACGGUGGAAUCAGCGACUGGGGUGAAGUCGUAACAAGGUAACC